Molecule: ribosomal RNA, 253 nt
Filed under: uncultured bacterium
Lineage: Bacteria
Description: partial 16S ribosomal RNA
Rfam family: Bacterial small subunit ribosomal RNA
Source: RNAcentral
UACGUAGGCAGCAAGCGUUGUUCGGAAUUACUGGGCGUAAAGAGUGUGUAGGCGGUGCUCUAAGUUCGGUGUGAAAUCUCCCGGCUCAACUGGGAGGGUGCGCCGGAAACUGGAGUGCUGGAGCGCGGGAGAGGAAAGCGGAAUUCCUGGUGUAGCGGUGAAAUGCGUAGAUAUCAGGAGGAACACCGGCGGUGUAGACGGCUUUCUGGACCGUAGCUGACGCUGAGACACGAAAGCGUGGGUAGCAAACAGG